CAAUAAGCGGAGGAAAAGAAACCAACAGGGAUUGCCCUUAGUAACGGCGAAGUGAAGCGGCAACAGCUCAAAUUUGAAAUCUGCCUUCGGGCCGAGUUGUAAUUUGUAGAGGAAGCUUUUGGUGAGGCACCUUCUGAGUCCCCUGGAACGGGGCGCCAUAGAGGGUGAGAGCCCCGUAUAGUCGGAUGCCGAUCCAAUGUAAAGCUCCUUCGACGAGUCGAGUAGUUUGGGAAUGCUGCUCAAAAUGGGAGGUAAAUUUCUUCUAAAGCUAAAUACCGGCCAGAGACCGAUAGCGCACAAGUAGAGUGAUCGAAAGAUGAAAAGCACCUUGAAAAGGGGGUUAAAUAGCACGUGAAAUUGUUGAAAGGGAAGCGUUUGCGGCCAGACUUGCGCCGCCCCGAUCAUCCGGUGUUCUCACCGGUGCACUCGGGGCGGCGCAGGCCAGCAUCGGUUUUGGUGGGGGGAUAAAGGUCCGGGGAACGUAGCUCCUUCGGGAGUGUUAUAGCCCCGGGCGUAAUGCCCUCGCCGGGACCGAGGUUCGCGCAUCUGCAAGGAUGCUGGCGUAAUGGCCGCCAACGACCCGUCUUGAAACACGGACCAAGGAGUCAAGGUUUUGCGCGAGUGUUUGGGUGUAAAACCCGCACGCGUAAUGAAAGUGAACGUAGGUGAGAGCUUCGGCGCAUCAUCGACCGAUCCUGAUGUAUUCGGAUGGAUUUGAGUAAGAGCGUUAAGCCUUGGACCCGAAAGAUGGUGAACUAUGCUUGGAUAGGGUGAAGCCAGAGGAAACUCUGGUGGAGGCUCGCAGCGGUUCUGACGUGCAAAUCGAUCGUCAAAUCUGAGCAUGGGGGGCGAAAGACUAAUCGAACCAUCUAGUAGCUGGUACGC
This 885-nucleotide ribosomal RNA is filed under the name [Gelasinospora] fallaciosa f. lagynocarpa. RNAcentral's name for it is "LSU rRNA". It matches the Rfam family "Eukaryotic large subunit ribosomal RNA", at positions 44 to 959 of the family's 3401-position model. Lineage: Eukaryota; Fungi; Ascomycota; Sordariomycetes; Sordariales; Sordariaceae. The record is from RNAcentral.